UACGGGGGGGGCAAGCGUUGUUCGGAAUUACUGGGCGUAAAGGGCUCGUAGGCGGCCAACUAAGUCAGACGUGAAAUCCCUCGGCUUAACCGGGGAACUGCGUCUGAUACUGGUUGGCUUGAAUCCGGGAGAGGGAUGUGGAAUUCCAGGUGUAGCGGUGAAAUGCGUAGAUAUCUGGAGGAACACCGGUGGCGAAGGCGGCAUCCUGGACCGGUAUUGACGCUGAACAGCGAAAGCCAGGGGAGCAAACGGG
RNAcentral lists this ribosomal RNA (253 nucleotides) under uncultured bacterium. RNAcentral's name for it is "partial 16S ribosomal RNA". It matches the Rfam family "Bacterial small subunit ribosomal RNA", at positions 524 to 776 of the family's 1533-position model. The record is from RNAcentral.